RNAcentral lists this non-coding RNA (59 nucleotides) under Bacteroidota bacterium. RNAcentral describes it as "Bacteroidetes bacterium Fluoride sequence". It matches the Rfam family "Fluoride riboswitch aptamer (crcB RNA motif)". The record is from RNAcentral. Lineage: Bacteria; Pseudomonadati; Bacteroidota.
AAAUAUUUUGGCGAUGGAGUUCGCCAUAAACCGCAUAAGCUAAUGACUCCUACUAAUUU